Molecule: unclassified non-coding RNA, 437 nt
Filed under: uncultured Rickettsia sp.
Lineage: Bacteria; Pseudomonadati; Pseudomonadota; Alphaproteobacteria; Rickettsiales; Rickettsiaceae
Source: RNAcentral
GACUUCCCCAUUAGAGCCGUGGAAGACCACCACGUUGAUAGGUCAGAUGUGGAAGCACAGUAAUGUGUGUAGCUAACUGAUACUAAUAGCUCAAUUGAUUUACUUUGCUGUGAGAUUACACAUGUAUAUAGUGUUUAUUCUAUAAUAUGUCAGUAUCAACUCACAAAGUUAUCAGGUUAAAAUAGCUUUAUCAAUUAAUAAAAGUGUUGUUGCAUGAUUGUCAUCCCGUGGCUUUAUUUAUAUGUCAUUCCUGCGAAAGCAGGAAUCUAGUAAAAUAUAAUGUUGUCCUGUGGUUUGUUCGUAGGAUUUUCGGAUAUAAAAUUGUGAUAUAAAAAUUUUUUUAAGUCCUGCAACAACACUAACAGCAAACCAAUACAAAUUUACUAUUUAAAAAGUUUGUAUCGCUAGCUUGGUGGUUAUAUUAUGAGUGAAACACA